Molecule: transfer RNA, 71 nt
Filed under: Pseudenhygromyxa sp. WMMC2535
Lineage: Bacteria; Pseudomonadati; Myxococcota; Nannocystales; Nannocystaceae
Rfam family: tRNA
About the family: Transfer RNA (tRNA) molecules are approximately 80 nucleotides in length. Their secondary structure includes four short double-helical elements and three loops (D, anti-codon, and T loops).
Source: Rfam by way of RNAcentral
UCGGGCAUCGUCUAAUGGUAGGACGGCGGAUUCUGGUUCCGCUAAUCAAGGUUCGAAUCCUUGUGCCCGAG